UUCUUUCUUUCGAUAGAAUUCUGCUAAAUUGCCUAGGCUGGACUUGAACUUCUGAUCUUCCUGCUUCAGCCUCCCAGAGAGGUAGGAUUACAGCAUCCAGAUCGCUGGUGGCUCCUGGUCCCCAAGACUGCCUGAGCCGCGGAGUAACCUCAGGGCGGAGGGCACUCCUGUCUCCAUAGUCUGUGGCGCCAGCCGCCUCUUUCUCAAGGAAGAGUCCACAGACAAGGUCUCACAAUGUAGCCCAGAUCCUCCUGGCUCAGUCUCCUCAGUGCUGGGAUUACAGGCGCAUCACAUGUCCAGUGGCAACGUCUUUUACUGUAAUAAUUUUUUUAAAAACACUGUGGGAGGGAAGGGGAAGGAAAGAAUCAAGAUGUGCCAUGUCGGCCCGGGAUUUAGCUCAGUGGCACCUUGCCUGCUUGGCAAGCGCAAGGUUUGAGUUCAAUCCCCGGUACCAAAAACCCAAGCCAAAACAAGAUGUGCUAUGUCCACGUACCACCUUCCCACGAGGAGUGUAAUCACUAGGUACUGCAAACAAACCGUCACUGUAUUUUUUGAUCACCGGGUACGUUCUCUCCCCACGGCCCCAGCGCGCCUCUCCGCUCCACCUGCAGAGCAAAGCCCCGGCACUUGGUGGCGCCAUCCUCCAAGUGAAAACCAACAGGGGACUGGAAUGACAAAGUCCUGGACUUCGGGGCCAGUUGUGUCAGUUUAUACUGAUAGGAUGCAGGACACAACGGCCCACAGCCAGCCCGGACUCAGCUUCCCCCCUCUCUGUUCAGGACCAGAACCAACAGGCGUUUUCGCAAAGUGCUGCGCAACAGCGGGGUCCUCCGUUCUGCCUCUUGGAGCAACUCGCUUGCCGCCCAGUCACCGUCGAUCAGUCACUAUCGGGUAGAGCCAGAGUCCAUCAUUCGCGUUCAGUUCACCGAGAAGUCAGAACGCAACUGAAUCCGACCGCAAGAUCUGGGGAUCCUAGUGCCUGCUGUUUGUUUCGGCUACGAAACACCGCGCGAUUCCUAGGGCAACAACUCUGGACUAAAUCCAAGUCCUGCCAGGCCCAGCCCUUUCGUAGUCUCGCCCAACCACCGCCCCCAAGAUGAUAUCCAAUCGUAAGCCCCGCUCGCCCAAAACUCUGCC
RNAcentral lists this long non-coding RNA (1137 nucleotides) under Heterocephalus glaber (naked mole-rat). RNAcentral describes it as "lncRNA (ENSHGLG00100035413.1)". Lineage: Eukaryota; Metazoa; Chordata; Mammalia; Rodentia; Bathyergidae. The record is from RNAcentral.